GCUUGGGUACCCAAAAUGAAAAUAUGAAGGUAUAGAUGUAAGUGUGCCAAGAUACCCAUGGAACAAAUAGAACUUUCACACAAAUGGGUGUUCUAGACACACGUUACAGAAUGGAACUUAAAAUAUAAUCAAGAAAAGUAAUUAAAAUAGAAGAAAUAAAUUCAAAUUCCUCCAUCCUUCUAUGUUAUACUUUACUUAUUGAUGGAUACUUUGUUAAUGAUUAAUCAAUUUCCUUAAAAUAUCUUUUUGAGUUCUCUAUAUGCUUGAUUGAGAGUUUUUAUCCAUGGCAUUAUCUUUUAUUGAUCUUAGGCAUAAGAAUGUGUACUUGGUAUAUUUUUAUAUAUAUGCAUUAUAAAUACCAAGACAAAAGAAAUCACUUUUGAUAUACAAAAUCAACUCGUACUAGUAUAUACUUAAUCUCAAAAGACCUUGUCAUUGGCUUAUUUAGAUUAUCUUCUGCAAGGUCAAAGUUUGCUAUGCAUGUUAACUAAGGAAACAAACAAGAAUCAAUUUCUAAAUCUAAAGAUGUUUCCAUCACUAAGUUUUCAAAAGCUUACAUUGGAUUUGUUCUUGGCAAAUAAAAUUGAAGUAUUUUCUGUAUUUACUAAAUCUUGUAAAAGUGUUUCAAAUGAAAAAGAUUUCCAAACUGUGAAGAUAAAGAGUAUCAUAGCACAGUGUUGAAAACCAAAAUUCUGAUAAGGUUUGCACAGAAAAUAAUAUUGAAUACAAUUGUUUCUGCACCAAGGACACCAUAAGUAAAAUAGGGUUAAUAGAAUCCUUGAGGAAAUGAAAAAGACAAUGUUGUAUGAUAGUCAUUUUUUUAAAAAAAAGCUAUCAUCACUGCUUGUCAUACAUAUGGUUUCUAUUAGAUCUAUUUUUGAUGAAAACUCCUUUUGAUCUUCUGAAAAAUAG
This 912-nucleotide long non-coding RNA is filed under the name Phoenix dactylifera (date palm). RNAcentral's name for it is "long non-coding RNA (PDAC_LNC011898)". Lineage: Eukaryota; Viridiplantae; Streptophyta; Magnoliopsida; Arecales; Arecaceae. The record is from RNAcentral.